Molecule: long non-coding RNA, 2707 nt
Organism: Drosophila sechellia
Lineage: Eukaryota; Metazoa; Arthropoda; Insecta; Diptera; Drosophilidae
Exons: 3
Source: RefSeq, a predicted model, not a curated record
CCAUUGCCAAGGCUCAUGUUGCGAUCUUGUUCGGAUUGCACGAGUAAUUUGAGGCGCUCAAUUUUUCGACGCAUAAUUAGGAGCGGACUGGGAACUGAGGACCGCUGGCUGCGGAAUUGUUUCGGUGCACGAGCCACACGACUUUCUUCACUAAUUGUUAGCUGGAACGCUUCAAAGGAACUGCGGGAAAGAAAGUUCCUUGACAAACAGCCUCCUGCCACGAAGCCCGGACUCGAUCCUUUCCCUUGGAGUGUGGCAAACGAAUCGAUUCUGGGUUAUGCUCUGGGUGCAGCAAUUAGUUCGAAUUUCCUGGGUCUCAGCUCAGAUGCUGAAUUGGAGAUCAUUGGACUCCAGUCGGAGUGCUGCUGGAGCUUUCUAGUGGUCAGAUCGCGUGGCAGUCAGCAACCCACUGACUGCUUGGGGUAAUUGUGGAGUGAGUGGGAAUAGAAAUCGAGAUACGAUGCUCCAAGUAGUGGCUGUUCAGCUGGCUGCUGGCUGCUGGCCACAUCCCGAAGGAAAUGCUCUCACAGAAUCUGAGCAUUGAAGACCAACACGAGCCAUCGAGCGACAGUUCGCCUCCCAUUGUUGGUUAAUUUAUCAAAGAUGCAAAAAGAGCCAACUCACGCUUAAGUGGAAGGCUGCCUAAUGAGCGUGUUCAGUGGUCUUUUUUCGGUGUUUGGUGUUCAAUGCUCAAUGACCAAAGUCCGAUGCCCAGUGCCGAGUGUGGUCAGCAGCUGGAAAAAAGGAACACAUGUGGCUCAUGCCCCUGGCUAGUGAAAGGAUUCGACUUUGGACUCUGGGCUCUGGAUCCUGGACUCUCGAUUCUGGAUUCUGGAUUCUGGACGGGAACAUGACGGAGUAAACACACGCCGCACAUCCUCAUUAAUCUCGAGGGGGCGUAGACCGAAUGGGAUCGGAGUUCGGACUGCGGCCGGAGGAUCGAAGUUGCUCUGGCUCUAAUCCCGCCGCACACAACAUAUUGCAACUUUAUGUCGGGGAAACGCGAUUCGAAAUCCAUUUCGAUGGCUUGACUUGCGUUUUGUUUUUCCAGCGUCAAUGGCGAUUUAGUUUGGCCUGCUAGCCCCGGACUGGAAUCCAACGAAAAUAUAAUAAGUGGGCACGUGUUUCUGCCUGGUCCACAGGGCAUACAAACGAUUUGUUUUUCUACGGCCAACAGGCCCUUGGGCCUCGUCUGGGGGAACGCACACACCACAGCCAGGAACGCAGUUCGAGGAGUCGCAGGAUCCUUGUCCAGGCGCCAAUCGAGCACCUCUUAAGCCUUUACAGCUGCCCAACGGAAGUGAAGUGAAGUGAAGGAGUUGCUCAAAGUGGCCUCACGUUCGCCGAGGUCAAUGGGUGUGUUUUCGAAGUCCACAUUUAGGAAGUCUGUCUCUAGUUCCCCCGGACACCAGAUACAUACAUAGGAAAGGCUUGAACACAACUUUGAGCCCCUUUUUUACAGGCGCACACAAAUGUGUUUGGAUAAAGUUUUGGCCUAAGUGAGAGAAAAAAACUCAUUAUGAGUUGCAUAAGGCUCAUAAUUGAUGGGCAAAUGGGCCGGCGAGCUGGUGGAACUGAUGGCCAAGACGCACCGUAGUGCAGGGUCCACGCUCUGGAUUAGACCAAUUUUAAGGAGAAUUGCUCUCUGCACGGUUCACACAUAGCUGAUCUGCCCUGCCCUGCUCUGAAUUGCAGGACGUUAGACUCUGGGCCAAGAAUUUUGAGCCGUGGGCGUGUGCGGGCCAUGGAUUUCACACACCGAUCUCAGGAGGAUCCUGGAACAAUCCCUUGCAGCAUGACGAAAGGUAAAUUUGUAAACAAUUGUGCUAAUUAAGCCAGCCCAAUAAAAAUCGGCUCACGAAGGCUUGAGCGGCUCGAGCGACCUGAGAGCCCUGGGCGGAUGGCCGAGUGGCCUGAGAUCUCCCGGGGAGAUCCAGGCGAGCACUUGAACUAAAUCCGGUAGCUUAAACGAGUUAAAGGAACUUGAACGGAACUUAAUCCCAUAAAUUUGGGAAAAAUACAAUUUUAAUCAGGUUAAUUCGUGUGUAGCGCGACUGUUGCAUGGUUUCGGGAUCUGGGCCACGGGAUCAGGGGCCAGGUAGUCGGUCGAGCGAAAGGAUUAGGCCUCUGGAUCUCGGGGAUUUAGCGCAAACAGAGGUGAGUCCGUCCAGCACAGGCCCACCGCCCAUCGCCUUCCUGCGACAUUCUAAUUUAAUCUCAGAUUACGAGCGAACGAGGAGAGGAGAUCGCGGAUCGGGAACGGGAUCGGUAUCGGGAUCAGUCCACCAGAUUAGGCCACUCCGCUCGUAUAUUGCCAAAUAAUGGUCGAGUUCCAGGGGCCGCCACUUCGAUUGCAAAAGUUUCACGUAAAUCCGUAAGAUUAGAUGGCUAGAUCCCCAGAUUUUCAGAUUCCCUCCCGCGCCUAGCCCAAUUGUUAGGUCAAUUGCCAAAUCACUUGAGCGGGGAAUGGAAAUCUGGGCCAUCUCAUCAUGGAGGUAAUCCCAGUCGCAGCAGAUCUAGGUAGAUCCUUGAAAGCCACUGGUCAUGCCCACUAAAGCUAGCAGUGCCUCCGAUGAUCUCAUUCCCCUGAUCCCCACACAAGUCCAAAGUAGUAAGCUGAACUAGAUGCGUUGACUUUCGAACCCCUGGGAAUACUACAGCUACAAAUGCUACAUGCUACAAAACUUAAUUAUAAAUAAUGUUUAGA